GUGCUUACUUUGGCAGCAUAUAUACUAAAAUUGGAAUGAUACAGAGAUUAGCAUGGCCUCUGCAGAAGGAUGGCAUGCAAAUUCGUGAAGCAUUCCAUAAUUUU
RNAcentral lists this small nuclear RNA (104 nucleotides) under Propithecus coquereli (Coquerel's sifaka). Lineage: Eukaryota; Metazoa; Chordata; Mammalia; Primates; Indriidae. The record is from RNAcentral.